RNAcentral lists this ribosomal RNA (429 nucleotides) under bacterium. RNAcentral describes it as "partial 16S ribosomal RNA". It matches the Rfam family "Bacterial small subunit ribosomal RNA", at positions 355 to 776 of the family's 1533-position model. The record is from RNAcentral.
UAGGGAAUCUUCGGCAAUGGGGGCAACCCUGACCGAGCAACGCCGCGUGAGUGAAGAAGGUUUUCGGAUCGUAAAGCUCUGUUGUAAGAGAAGAACGUGUGUGAGAGUGGAAAGUUCACACAGUGACGGUAACUUACCAGAAAGGGACGGCUAACUACGUGCCAGCAGCCGCGGUAAUACGUAGGUCCCGAGCGUUGUCCGGAUUUAUUGGGCGUAAAGCGAGCGCAGGCGGUUUAAUAAGUCUGAAGUUAAAGGCAGUGGCUUAACCAUUGUUCGCUUUGGAAACUGUUAAACUUGAGUGCAGAAGGGGAGAGUGGAAUUCCAUGUGUAGCGGUGAAAUGCGUAGAUAUAUGGAGGAACACCGGUGGUGAAGGCGGCUCUCUGGUCUGUAACUGACGCUGAGGCUCGAAAGCGUGGGGAGCAAACAGG